AACAAUUACCUAUUACCGAUACCCCCAUUAAAUUCAAGGUUUGUGAUAUGUUACAAGCAAGUGCAAAGUGCACCAUCACCAACACCCCCCUUAAAUUCAAGGUUUGUGAUAUGUUACAAGCAAGUACAAAGUGCGCCAUCAAGUGCUCUUGUGCCACACCCUCAUCCAUGCACACAUACACAUGUGUCGUGCCCACACCCUCAUCCAUGCAUACAUACACAUGUGUCGUGCCCACACCCUCAUCCAUGCACACAUACACAUGUGUCGUAUGCUUCACGUCUCUGCAUAUGCACUAUCAUUCUCAAC
RNAcentral lists this long non-coding RNA (306 nucleotides) under Amborella trichopoda. RNAcentral's name for it is "long non-coding RNA (ATRI_LNC003686)". Lineage: Eukaryota; Viridiplantae; Streptophyta; Magnoliopsida; Amborellales; Amborellaceae. The record is from RNAcentral.